This 225-nucleotide ribosomal RNA is filed under the name uncultured bacterium. RNAcentral's name for it is "partial 16S ribosomal RNA". It matches the Rfam family "Bacterial small subunit ribosomal RNA", at positions 524 to 747 of the family's 1533-position model. The record is from RNAcentral.
UACGUAGGGUGCAAGCGUUAAUCGGAAUUACUGGGCGUAAAGCGUGCGCAGGCGGUUUUGUAAGUCAGAUGUGAAAUCCCCGGGCUUAACCUGGGAACUGCGUUUGAAACUACAAGGCUAGAGUGUGGCAGAGGGGGGGUGGAAUUCCACGUGUAGCAGUGAAAUGCGUAGAGAUGUGGAGGAACACCGAUGGCGAAGGCAGCCCCCUGGGUUAACACUGACGCU